RNAcentral lists this ribosomal RNA (253 nucleotides) under uncultured bacterium. RNAcentral describes it as "partial 16S ribosomal RNA". It matches the Rfam family "Bacterial small subunit ribosomal RNA", at positions 524 to 776 of the family's 1533-position model. The record is from RNAcentral.
UACGUAGGGUGCGAGCGUUGUCCGGAAUUAUUGGGCGUAAAGGGCGUGUAGGCGGUUUGUUAAGUCUGGCGUGAAAGCUCUCGGCUAAACCGGGAGAGGUCGUUGGAUACUGGCAAACUAGAGGAUGGUAGAGGCGUGUGGAAUUCCGGGUGUAGUGGUGAAAUGCGUAGAGAUCCGGAGGAACACCAGUGGCGAAGGCGACACGCUGGGCCAUACCUAACGCUAAAGCGCGACAGCAUGGGGAGCAAACGGG